Molecule: long non-coding RNA, 4660 nt
Filed under: Sus scrofa (pig)
Lineage: Eukaryota; Metazoa; Chordata; Mammalia; Artiodactyla; Suidae
Description: lncRNA (ENSSSCG00030017988.1)
Source: RNAcentral
ACGAAAAGACAAUCCACAGAAUGGGAGGAAAUAUUUGCAAAUGAAGCAACUGACAAGGGAUUAAUCUCCAAAAUACAGGGAGUGCCUGUCAUGGCUCAGUGGUAAUGAACCUGACUAGUAUCCAUGAGAAUGAAGGUUCAAUCCCUGCCUUGCUCAGUGAGAUAAGGAUCCAGCAUUGCUCUGAGUUAUGGCAUAGGUCACAGACACAGCUCAGGUCCCAUGUCACUGUGGCUGUGGUGUAGGCCAGCAGCUACAGCUCCAAUUUGACCCCUAGCCUGAGAACUUCCAUAUUCCAUAGGUGUGGCCCCAAAAAGACAAAAAAACAAUAAAAAAACCUCCAAAAUAUACAAAUACCUCCUGCAAGCCAAUAUCAAAAAAACAAUCCAAUCAAAAAAUGGGCAGAAGAUCUAAAUAGAUAUUUCUCCAAAGAAGACAUACAAAUGGCAAAACAAAACAAAAAACAACAAAACAUGAAAAGAUGCUCAACAUCAGUAAUUAUUAGAGGAAUGCAAAUCAAAACUAUUAUGAAGUACCACCUUACACCAGCCAGAAUGGCCAUUAACAAAAAGUCUAUAAAUAAUAAACACUGGAGAGGGUAUAGAGAAAAGGAAACACUCUUACACUGUUGGUAGGAAUGUACAUUGGUGUACACUGGUACAACUACCAUGGAAAACAGUAUCGAGCUUCCUCAAAAAACCAAAAAGAGAACUACCUUACAAUCCAGCAAUCCCACUCCCGGGCAUCUAUCCAGAGGAAACCGAAUUGAAAAAGAUACAUGUACCCCAGUGUUCACUGCAGCACUAUUUACAACAGCCAAGACUUGGAAGCAACCUAAAUGUCCAUCAACAGAGUGGAUAAAGAAGAUGUAGUACAUAUAUACAAUGAAAUAUUACUCAGCCAUAAAAAGAAUGAAAUAAUGUCAUUUGCAGAAACAUGGAUGGACUCAGAAACUAUCAUACUAAGUGAAGUUAGUGAAAGCCAACCACCAUAUAACAUCACUUUUAUGUGCAAUCUUUUAAAAAAGGAUAUGAAUGAACAUAUUUGAGGAACAAAAAUAGACUCACAGACUUUGAAAAACUUAUGAUUUAACAAAGGGGACAGGUUGGGGGGUGGGAGGGAUGGACGAGGGGUUUGGGACUGGCAUAUGCACACUGACAUAUGUGGAAUGAUUGUCCAAUGAGGACCUGCUGUAUAGAACAGGGAACUCUACCCAGUAUUCUGUGACAAUCUAUGUGGGAAAAGAAUCUGAAAGAGAAUGGAUAUGUGUAUAUGUAUGACUGAGUCACAGAAGAAAUUAUCACAACACGGUAAAUCAAUUAUACUUCAGUACAACUUCAAAAAAAGGAAGUAGAUAUUGACUUUGUGCAGUUCCACUAAGGGAAUCAGUUAUCAAAAGCUCAGCCAUCCUAAAUGGACUUUGCUGGUUGGGAUUUGGGGGGAAUAUACACCAUGAAAUUAAUAUAUUCUUUAACUUUCAUUUUUCUACACUUAACCAGGUAUCCUCAUUGGAUGAAAUGAACUCAAGGUAAGAAAGUCUUGUUGAUUUUGACCAAGAAUACUUCAGAAAAAAAAAAAAAAUAAAGACUCUGUCUAGAAGGGUAAAUAAAAGAUAUCAGCCAUAAUUAAAAAGAUGAAAAAAGUCAGAAAGAGCAAAGCUUUCAUUUUUUGCAUCCUUUUUACAUUCCUAAGCUAACAGCGAUUAGCUGUAGCUUCCGUAUUACAUUCCUAAGGAUUCAAUCAUAUAUCAAUUGCAGCUCCCUUUGUAUUCACAAUAAUACCAUCAUUAACUACAAUUUUUUUUUCUAUUCCUAAGGAUAAGAUAAUAAAUUGGAUGCAGCCCCCCAUUGCAUUCCUAAGAACAUCAUCUGCAAUUGUCUGUAACUUUCCUUUGCAUUCCUACGGGUACCAUCAUAAGUUACUUGCAACUUAUACCAUUCACGAUACUAACAACACCAUCAUCAGUAGGCUUCAUCUUCAUUUUACAUUCCCAAGAAUACCAUCCUCAAUUAGCUGAGGCUUCCCAGUUACAUUCUAAAUAACACCAUCAACUGGCCACAACACCUUUUGAUUCUCACAGAUAACAUUCUCAAUUAGCUGCUAUUUUCCCAUUUAUAUUCCUAAAAAUACCACCAAUUGGUCACAGCUAACCACGUGCAUUUCCUAAGGUGACAGCAAGUAGCUGAAGCUUCUAUUUACAUUUGAAAGAAUACCAACCUCAAUUGGCUGCAGCUUCCUUUUUAUAUUCUUAUGUAUUUCUCAAUCAAUUGGUCACAGCUUCCUCUUUAUAAUCCCUAGAAGGACAUCAUCAAUUGGAUGCAGCUUCCCAUCUUCAUUGCAAAGAAUAUAUCAUUAAUUGGCCAAAACUUUCUCUUUGGAUUUCCACCGAUAGCAUAAUCAAUUAGCUGCAGCAUCCAAUUUACAUUCCUAAGUUAAGACACAGCUUCUCCUCUGCAUUCCCACUGAUACUAUAUCAAUUGGCUGCAGCUUCCACUUAUAAUUCUAGGGAUACCAUAUCAAAGGCUACAACCUGUCAUAAGCAUUCCCUUGAUGACAUUCUCACUAGCUGCAGCUUCCACCUACAUUCCUAAGGACACCAUCAUCAAUGGGCCACAGUUUCCCUUUGUUUUGCCAAUGAUACCAUUACCAAUUAGCUGCAGCAUCUCAUUUACAUUCCUAAGGAUACCUUCAUCAAUUGGCUACAGCUGAUUCCCCAUGAUAUGUUCAUCAGUCAGCUGCAGUUUCUCAUUUUCAUUCCUAAGUAUACCAUCAUAAAUUGGCCACACUAGCCUGUUCAUUUCCUAAGAUGACAUCAACUAGCUGCAGACUCCCACAUAAAUUCCUAACGAUACCAGCAUCAGUAGGCCACACUUUCUUUCUGCAUUCCUUUGAUGGUAUCACCGAUAGUGUAGCUUCCCAUUUAUAUCCCUAAGGAUGCCAUCAAUUUAUCACAGCAUCCCCUUUUGAACCCCAAUGAUAUCAUCAAUUGCCUGCAGUUUCUCAUUUUCAUUCCUAAGGAUGACAUUAUCAUUUAGCUGUAGAUUCCCAUUUACGUUGCCUUUUCAUUCUCAAUGAUACUAAAAUCAAUAGCUACAGGUUCCUGUUUAAAUUUCUAAGGAGAUAUCUUCAAUUGACCAGAGGUUUCUCUUAGAAUUCUCAAUGAUACUAUCAUCAAUUACUUGCAGCUUCCAUUUACAUUUCUAAGGCUACAUCAUCAAUUGUCCAUAGCUCUCUAUUUGCUUCCUCAAUGAUGCACUGUCAGUUAGCUGUAGCUCCCAUUUACAUUCCCAGGGAUAUGUAACAUCCAUUCCCAGGGACAGGUAACAUCCUUGCCUUCUGUAUUCCCUAUGAUGGUACCAUCACUUAACUUCAUUUUCCAAGUUAUUCUCCCAGAGAGACCACCCAUUGACCACAGCUUCCCUUUGCAUUCAGAAUGAAACCAUCAUCAAUUAGCUGCAGCUCCCCAUCUACAUUCCCAAGGAUAUCAUAACCAAUAGGCUGCAGCUUCCAGUUACAUAACUAAGGAGACCAUCAUCAACUGGCCACAGCAUCCUCUUUAUAUUCCCAGUGAUAACCAUCAAUUGGUUCCAGCUUUCCUUUAACAUUCCUAAGGGAUAACAUCAUCUAUUAGAUUCUGCCUCCUUUUGCAUUUCCAAGCUAAUCUUCAUAAAUUGACUGUGGCUUCCUAUGUACAUACCCAAGCACAUCAUCACCAAGUGGCUACAAGUUACCUCUGGCAUUUCAAAGGACACCAUCAUAGCAGGUUGUUUCUCCUCUUUUUCAUUCCUACGGGGACCAUUAUCCAUUAGUUGCAGCUUCCCUUCUGCAUUUUUAGGAAUAUUAUCAUAAAUAGCUGCUGCUUCCAUAUAUAUUCCUAAGGAUACCACCAUCGAUUGGUGCAGUUUCCCUCUUACCAUUCCUAAGGAUAUAGUUUUAUAUUUCUUAGGAGCCCAUCAUUAGUUUGAUAGGUAGCUCCUCACAGGUCACGACAGUAAAACUGCCAUCCUACCUUUAUUAUUUGCUAUGGUAGCAUGCCUACAUCUUCCCUGGAUGGGAGGCCUGGUACUCUUCCUCUCCCUGUCUGCAGAGCCAUCCUGCCUACUGAAAUCCAGGAGACUCUUGCAAGGAUCAUUUCCCCCAUCCUCCUCACCAGCCUCAGAUUUCUGAUACUUCUCUGCUUUUUUAAUUAUCUUGUGGUUUCCUGCACCAAUGACUGGUGGUGAAAGAAGUGACCACUAUACUGUCCUUGAGAGGUCAUGAGAGGUGCCAGGUGGGUAUUGAACAUGAUGAUCCAUUACAACAUUUCUCUCUUUUUAAGUCUUUAAAUCCCUUUCUCUGUCUCAUAUCAGGGGUGUUGUAAUAACGUAUAGGCCACAAAGUAGACCUGAAUUUAAUCAAUUACCAGCCACUCUUUGGAUCUUUCAGCUAUUGAAGCUAAUGUGUUGACUCAAAAAUUGCGAUAAGGGAGUUCCCAUUGUGGUGCAGAGGAAACGAAUUUGACGAGGAACUAUGAGGUUACAGGUUCGAUCCCUGGCCUCACUAAGUGGGUUAAGGAUCCGGUGUUGCCAUGAGGUGGAGUGUAGGUUGCAGACAUGGCUCAGAUCUGGCAUUGCUGUGGCUCUGGUGUAGGCCGGUGGCUACAGCUCCGAUUAGACCCCUAGCC